CCUACGAGAUGCAGCAGUAGGGAAUCUUCCACAAUGGGCGAAAGCCUGAUGGAGCAACGCCGCGUGGGUGAAGAAGGUCUUCGGAUCGUAAAACCCUGUUGUUAGAGAAGAAAGUGCGUGAGAGUAACUGUUCACGUUUCGACGGUAUCUAACCAGAAAGCCACGGCUAACUACGUACCAGCAGCCGCGGUAAUACGUAGGUGGCAAGCGUUAUCCGGAUUUAUUGGGCGUAAAGGGAACGCAGGCGGUCUUUUAAGUCUGAUGUGAAAGCCUUCGGCUUAACCGGAGUAGUGCAUUGGAAACUGGGAGACUUGAGUGCAGAAGAGGAGAGUGGAACUCCAUGUGUAGCGGUGAAAUGCGUAGAUAUAUGGAAGAACACCAGUGGCGAAAGCGGCUCUCUGGUCUGUAACUGACGCUGAGGUUCGAAAGCGUGGGUAGCAAACAGGAUUAGAUACCCCAGUAGUC
This 465-nucleotide ribosomal RNA is filed under the name uncultured bacterium. Its description in RNAcentral is "partial 16S ribosomal RNA". It matches the Rfam family "Bacterial small subunit ribosomal RNA", at positions 338 to 795 of the family's 1533-position model. The record is from RNAcentral.